GAUGAACGCUGGCGGCGUGCCUAAUACAUGCAAGUCGAGCGAACAGACGAGGAGCUUGCUCCUCUGACGUUAGCGGCGGACGGGUGAGUAACACGUGGAUAACCUACCUAUAAGACUGGGAUAACUUCGGGAAACCGGAGCUAAUACCGGAUAAUAUAUUGAACCUCAUGGUUCAAUAGUGAAAGACGGUUUUGCUGUCUCUUAUAGAUGGAUCCGCUCCGCAUUAGCUAGUUGGUAAGGUAACGGCUUACCAAGGCAACGAUGCGUAGCCGACCUGAGAGGGUGAUCGGACACACGGGAACUGAGACACGGUCCAGACUCCUACGGGAGGCAGCAGUAGGGAAUCUUCCGCAAUGGGCGAAAGCCUGACGGAGCAACGCCGCGUGAGUGAUGAAGGUCUUCGGAUCGUAAAACUCUGUUAUUAGGGAAGAAAAAAUGUGUAAGUAACUAUGCACGUCUUGACGGUACCUAAUCAGAAAGCCACGGCUAACUACGUG
Molecule: ribosomal RNA, 497 nt
Filed under: uncultured bacterium
Lineage: Bacteria
Description: partial 16S ribosomal RNA
Rfam family: Bacterial small subunit ribosomal RNA
Source: RNAcentral